CUGUAAGUGGAACAACUUGCUCAGAAAAUGGAAAAGAAUGUGAAAAUAUUAAAAAUUCUCAUUGUAACACUGACAAAUGUAAAUGCGACGCCGGGUAUGUCAUGAAUGUUGACACGUGUACCGCGGAGAAUUCAGCUGUAUCCAUACAGUUAGGGACACUAACGGUCCUUCUUAGCGGCUUGGCAACUCUUAUACAGCAAUUCUGAUUGGGACGCAAAAGAUAAACCUACAUUCUAUUUUGUGUGUGUGAUGGACAUUUUAUUUAUACCUUCUUUUUAACACCGUAAUCAAUGAUUUUAUUUACUAUACUUUAUCAAAUCAAAUGUAGGAUUAACAUUUAAAGAAAUUCGCUUUAUUUAAAUAGAAAGGCUAAUGAACAUGAAUCAAGAAAGGGAACUACGUGCAUUGUAAUCUACAAAGCCGUAAUACGUUUGUUUUCAUAUUUUAAUCAGUAUCUGUAUCUGCUUCCUUUCAGAUUUACCUUUUUCCGAUUUGUUUUAUGUGUGUGUGUGUGUUAAACAUUUAAAAUUUUACAAAAGUCAACUGUUUAAUUCUUGCAUGUAAAAAAUGUUUUUGUAUGUAUGAAUUCAUUUUGCUUGUAGGUUUUGAGACAUUGUAUUAAUGGUACGCCAGAUAGAUGUUUUCAUCUAUUAAAGCAAAAUGGGCAAUUAAUCGGUGAAAAUAGUGUCGAAUGUCAUGUUUAAAGACAAACUUAGUGCAAUUUGAAAAAAAAAAACCAUUAAAAUUAUAUGAAUCCUGGUGAAUUUAAAGACAAAUAAUGUAUAUAAACACAAAUCGUAACGCCUCAGAUUUUUCACUAUCCGUUAAUGCAUAAAAAUAAUGUAACUCAUAUUUCAUUGACAUGAAAUAAACAGUGUUUCGGUAUCUACUAGUUUUACCCGUAUUUUUAUACAAUUUGAACAGGUUUUAAAUAAACCAUACAUUGUUGACAAGAUACUAUUUCCGACGAACGCCAUGUGAUUACGUACAAACACUUUUUCAUGCAAGAAUAUUUAAUUUAGUAAUUCCGUAACAAAGAAGAAAAAUGGAGAUACCACUACUUAUUGCUGUCAAUUAAGUUUCGUGUUAUAUAAUAGAAUUAACUUGUUCCUCAUUCAAAAUAAACACAAAAGUGAAAUCGAAAAAUUUUGUUUUAAUGUACAUUAAGAAUAUUUAUUUGAUAUGAAUAUUAUUUUAAACAUUGUCUAUUGAAUAAACAGUUGGAAAUAAA
This is a long non-coding RNA of Ruditapes philippinarum (Manila clam), 1231 nucleotides long. RefSeq lists it as uncharacterized. The transcript has 3 exons. Lineage: Eukaryota; Metazoa; Mollusca; Bivalvia; Venerida; Veneridae. The record is from RefSeq and is a predicted model, not a curated record.